This is a non-coding RNA of Cinara cedri, 6970 nucleotides long. The record is from the annotation of a GenBank genome assembly. Lineage: Eukaryota; Metazoa; Arthropoda; Insecta; Hemiptera; Aphididae.
UUUUAACAGAUGAAUUGGAAAAAUACGGUGUGAAAUGUAAGGAGAUUUGUAUAGCACUUAUUACUAAAUUGUAUACAAAAAAUAAAUAAUAAGCAAAUAUUUUAUUUCAAAACCACGCAGCUUAUAAACAAAAACUUAUAUUGAGAUUUUUUACAAAUUCUACGUAGUAUGCCUUAAAGUUGCAUAUUAAUAUGUAUUGCAAUUAUAGACGUUUCUUUAUAGUUUUGAAUAUGAGUAUGUCAAAUUCAAGCAUUUCACCUGUUUAGUAAUUUAUUAUUUCAAAAACUUGACGAGGAAUUUCUUUAUAAUUUAUAACCUCCUCCUUCCCAAAAAUGAAUCCUAGUUGCGUUACUGGUCACAGCAUAUUCGGGGUGUGAUUUGAUAUAUUUUUUUUAAAUUUUAAAUUGGUGGGUCUGGAGAAAUGUGCGUGGUUUGAAAUUAAUAUUUUUAAUAUUAUUAUUAUUACCUAAUGUAACUUUUUUCUUUAAAACCAUACUUACACAUAUGCCUAUUCUUAUUUUAGAUUUUUGCAAAAUAGUGCAAUUACCUAUUGGCCAAGAAGUAAUAUAUACAGCAAAAUUUGGUUAGUGACAAUUACGUAAAAUCACUAGUACAUGGUAUAAAUUAAUACUUAGUAUACUUUUAGUUUUAUUAGUGCCGGUGCAAGGUAUAAAUUUUGGGCCCCACGGAAGUGUAGCUAUCUCUCGAAAAGCAAAUUAUUAUCAUUUAACAAAUAUUAUAAUUUAGAAAAACUAAUAAUAAUAUUAUAUUUUACAGAUGGCAUAAUAUAAUAUUGAUAAUUUGUUGUGUUAUUCGUGUUUGUGAAUCGUAAUUCAAAGAUCAAACUUCAAAUAUUCAUAUGUUAGUCAAAGAUUAGGCCUAAGUAUCUUACCCUAAAUAUCCUUGUUAUUUUACAGCUACAAGGAUUGAGUAGUAAAUUAUUAGUGAUUUUAAUUUCAUCACACGGAAAUUGACAAGUUCCGUCAUGAAUAUAGGUGUAUUCAUAAGAGGACACCGAACGUGCAUAUGACAUCUCUGUCUAUCUAACAAGUUGGUAAUUUAACAGAAAUGUGUUUUCAUAUUUUCAAUAGUAUUCAGACCUCAGUAGUCAGAAUUUUUACUAAAUUACAUUAAAAUAAUUUUUUUUAUUCUUUACCUGUGGAUUUUAUAUGAUUUUUAAAUUAUAAAUGAAACAAGGAAUAUAUUGAUUUUACAAUGAUAUUUAUUUUCUAUUUUUUUUUUCAAUUAACAACUUUUCUACCACAAAUUUCGCUCCAAUUUUCAAGUGUAACACUUUUUCUAAAAAGAAAUUUUACUGGAGUGGUAGUACUUAAAGGAGGUUAUUUUUUGAUUUGCCAAGGAGUUUUCAUAAUAAAUGGGAAAAACAAACAAAUUUACGAAAUGUAUUAUUUUUAAAUCAUAAAUAUUACGGCCUUCUAAAACAUAUAUAACCGAACUCCACUCAGAAUAAUUUUUCAUUAGCAACGAUUAAUUAUUGCAUAUAAUUAAUAUACAUCAAAUUUUCCCUCUACCUUCCAAACUUUUCACCAACAAUAAUAACCUCUCUUAUCGUACGAAGUAUGUCCAUUGGUUUUUUUAACAUAUUUUUAAAAAGGCAUAUUUUAAAAUUUUAAAAACAUAUAUUGCAAAUUUAAAAAAACAACUGUUCUAUAGAUAUUUAAUACAUCUGUAUUUAUCUUGACAUCAAAAUCUAGUUUAUAUCAUUGAGGUCUAAGUACUUUCGUAAUAUUUUCCGUUAGAUAGACAGAUACUACAAAUACACGUUUGAAAUUAACAAUUUUAAACUUUUAAAUUAUAAAGUAGACUACUUGAGUAACCAUGUUAUACUGUAAAACUUCCAUACAACGGUCACCGAAGGGACCGGAAAUAAUGACCGCUAUUUAGAGGUGAUCGUUCUUUAGAGGUGACCGUUAGCGGAAGUUUUACUGUAAUUAUUAUCAGUAAUUACAUUGUUCGAGCAAAACACCUUUCGCCCCAAAACGACUUUCCUCUUUCCACCCAAGUAUAAUACAAAUAAAUUUCUUAUUUUCGUCUAAUAAUAAAUGCAUUUUUUUUUCACUCACAAUUUUACGUUCAACAUUUUGAGAACCACGGCUUAAAAUUAUUUAUGUUAAAUAUUUAAUAUUUAUUAUUACUACUUAAGUAUUUUUACUGUUUAUGAAAAAUAUAGUCUUAUAUAUCUCAGUAUCGCUUAAAGAGGUAAAUAACUCUACUUAUUACAACAUGACAAACUGUCAUAACAUUUUGUACGGCAAAAAAUGUCCACAUUUCUACAACCAUACAUUUUUGUGGUGCACUUUGUUUUGCAAUUGCAUCGUUUAUAUCAAUUGAUGAAUUUGAUUAAUUUUAAAUUUAAUAAUUUUAUUUUGUGUAACAAAGAAAAAAUGUUUACUUAACCGAUUAAAAAUUUAUAUUUUUUAGCCAAUAGAAAACAAAUAAUUAUUUUUUUUAUUAGAUACUAAAUUAUUUAAUUUAUUAUACUUAUUAUUAUACUUAUUACUAUUAUUAUUAAUACUUCACAUAUAUUUUCCGUUUAUAAAAAAUUGUUUGAUUAUUGUGCAAAUUAAUAGUAUACAAUAAAAUAUAUAACUGUAUUGAAUGACAAUAUCAUACUGAAUGUUAGAGAGGCAACAUAGCAUGACUGUUAUACAGAUAUAAUAAAAGUAGUUGGUUAAGGUAAAGUACUAGGGAGUUCGUUUACUAUUAUAGAAUUAUGUUAAUAAUAGUGUACUAUUAUUUUGAUUUUUCCGUUAUUCCUAGAACCAACAUUCACCAAUAUCGUUAUAAUAUAAAUGUCGACAUUUACUAUUGAAUGUUUACAUAUGAUGCGAAUCUAAUCAAUAUACCAACAUUCACCAAUGACUUUGGUGUACGACGACAUUAACCGGUGAUUGUCAACAUUCACCAACUGUGGACAUUCGCAGUAACAUAUAUACACAGAAAUUCACCAAUCACGUAAUUAGAGAAAAUACAUUUCACCUGCCUCUCCUGAUUUGUAAAUUUCAUGAAUUUACAUGCUUUUAUUUUAGAUGUUAUAUCAAUAAAAUCCCGGAAGAGUGGGGCUAAAUAAAUAUUUCUUCAAAUGGGGUAUGGCUGAUAAAAUGAUCAUCACUAGGGCUCGGAGCUUGAUUAUCUAAAAAUAUUUAAAAACUAUAUAAAAUUACAUAAAAAUGUUAAAAAAUCAAUUUAAAAAAAAAAAGAGUUGACAUAGUUCGUACGAUGGGUGGGCUACUAUUGUAGAUGAGAAGUUGAGGAAUUUAAGGAAGGAAUUUGAGGAAGGGGAAUUUAUUAUAUAUCUGUGCGCAAUAUUUAACCUUUGCUAAUAAAAAACGAUUCUGAGCGGUGUUCGAUUAUACAUGUUUAAAAGGCCGUAAUAUUUACGAUUUUCGACAAAAUUUAAUAUUGAAAUCCUUUUCAAAAAAAAAUACAUUUACUUAACUUUUACUUGUUGACCACUAAGUAAAACUUAUAAUAAACCUUCUGUUAAAUUGUCAAGUAUUUCUCCAUAUCUCAUUCAUCCACAGAAUAUCUACUAAAUAAAUAUUACGUAAAAAUCUCGCAAAAUUAAAAUGUCUCAUGACUUAAACCACGUCUAUAAAAGGCAAAUAUAAGGUUUCUGUCAAAAUUUCAAAUCUCUACGAAUAUUUUUCACUGAAUUUAAACAAAAACACAAAAUUUAAAAUUAUAAAACUUUAUUUUCGUGAAUUUUCCAGUUUUUCUUGCAUUUUUCCCGGUUUUUCCCAAAAUUACCUUCUAUAAUCUUCUGUUAUAAUAAAUACAAUCUAGAUUACGAUUUACUUUGGUGGAGCAGGGUUGUUUUAAAAAUUCCGCUACUGAAAUAAACUGUAGUAAAAGUUUUUGAGCCAUAAUGUCUAUAAUAUAAUAUACAUAUUUGAUAAUAAUUAUUUUUAGCUUAGGUACAAUGACUUAAGGGAUAAAAGAAUACUGAAUACAAUAAAUAUUUUGUGUUUUAUUUACUGAAUUUUCUAAAGUACAUAACUAUAAUAUAAAUAUACUACAUAAGACAUACCUCGGAAAGUAUACAAAUUCAUUCAAUUAUCAAAAAUUACUGUAUGGCAUACAAUUCCCUAAAAAUGGUACCAUCAGCUUCUACGUUCCAUGAAACAAAUUUAAAUAAAAAUACGCAAUAUAUUAGAACUGGUGAAAAAAAAAUACAAGUACAACAAAUUCUGGGUUCUAAAUAUGACUAAUGCCCCAUGUAUAUAAGCAAAAAAAUAUAUUAACUGCAGGAUCUCACCACAGAACAGUGCUAUAUCCCAUGUAAUGUCCCUUACGCAUAAGCAAUCCAUAGUGAACCAGUCAAUUUCGCCAUUGAUUAAGUUUUCAUCAAUUUUUCAUCAACUUUUCAUCAAGUUUUACCGAUUGGUAAAGUCAUUCAUAGUAUUAUAGUAUAUAUUUUAAUAUAACAUGAAAUGUCGUUUUAUUCAACCCAUAAUUAUACUUCAGAGAAUAAAGUAUAAUUAAAAAGUACAUGGUUCUCAGAAUGUUAAACUAUGGGCGAAAACAAUCUUAUUAUAAUUGGAUGAAAAGAGGAAAACUUAAGUCGGUUUCACACAAAGGAGUUAAGCUCAUAUCAGUAACAUUCCUAAUCAUUAAAAUUGUUUUUAAUACCAAUUCUAUAGGAAAGACAAACAAUUCAUUUAAAAAUGAUGGUGAGUAUACUUAAAAUAAAUUCUAUAAUAUGAAAAAAUAUCAUAAGCACAACUUUAAAAAAUUUCAAAGAAGAUUAGGUUUAUUAUUUAAAAAUAUCUAAUAACUAGAGUUCUAUUACGUAAGCUUAUUUUUUCAGCUUGAUAUUAAAUCUAGCAAAGCUAUUGAAAUUUAUAUUAUGUGAGUUCAAAUAUGAAAUUUGAAAAUGGUUUGUUUGAUUAAUUCUUUAAAAAAAAUGCUAUAGUUUUUUACUUUUUUGAAUACGCAAGCCACUGAUGAGAACCCAGAUAUUUUCCUUAUUUUUAAAUAAUUUUACAUUUUUAUUCCAAUAUAUGUAAUUAUAAGUAUAUUUUUAAAAAGAAUCAAGAGUUCAAAUAUAAAAUUUGAAUGUUUUAUUAAGUACAUAUUUUUUUCACCCGUUAAUUAGAGUAGUUAGACCGAAACAGCUAGUAAAUGUAGGUAUUGCUUCCUAAGUAAAUUCAAAGUAAUGAUUUAUGAUACUAUAUAUAAUUUCUAUUGUUCAGAGUAAAAAUAACUCAUUAUUAAACUUACUUGUCUUCAAAUUAGUAAAAUAAUGUACUUUUUCAACUUAAUGGAAAUGUACUUAAACUACAAUGCCACCAAUAAGAAUAAUAUUAUAAUAUUUAUUAAAACAAUAAAAAAAAAAAAAAUUUUAAUUUUAGGAAACUAUUUGGCUAGAUAUUAUGAUCACAUUUUUAACGGUGGAACAAGUACGUACACUACAUUGGAUCAAUAAAAAAAAAAUACUGCUCAAACAUUAACUGUAUUUUUAUAAAAAAAAAAACACUUACAAUUCAAAUCAAAAAAUUCAAAAAGUUUGAAUCAAAAGUCAAUAAAAUUAUAUUAUCACGUGGUGACAUGAGUCCAAAGUUUAAAAUUAUAUAAAAUAUUAUAAAUAAGUAUUUGUCAAUUAUUUCUCAAACUAUUAAUUUCAUUGAAAAAAAUGAUUUUUACAAAAUACUCUACAUAAUUAAUUCUAAAAAUAAUUUCUAUAACCAUAUAACUUUUAAACUUAACACGAUAGACAAAAUAUUUAUAGAGCUACAGAAUAUUUUACAGACAUAAUUUUACCAAUAAAAUUAAUAGUACUAUUAUACACUAUCGUGUAUUCGUAUAAGAAACUAUUGAGAAAUACUUAUAAUCAUGGGUGUAUCCAGGGAGGGCAGGGAAACAAUUGCCACUCUCUAUUCAUAGCUAUCAAAUAUAUUCAAUUUGAACGAAAUUUUAAACUGUGGAAGGAAUGUUCUACAAGCUUAAAAAUAAUUUGUUUUUCUCGUGUUUAUCAUGGGAAUAAACCAAACAGUCUAGAAAACAUUCAGAUAAUAAGACGUAAAAACUCUGCUACACAUAAAAGGAAAAUUAUAAGCAAUAUUAUCAGUAGUGCAACUGCAACCAAUGUUAAAUCCAGGUAUAUGUCAGGGAGGGCUAUAGCCCCCCUAGAAUUUUGUUUGUCCCCUUGUUAAAUAUAGGUAAAUUAAUAAUUAAUUAAAUAAUUAAUUUCAUACUAUAAUUUUAGUUAUUUCCCCCGUAGAAAAAUUUUCGGGAUUCCACACUGACUACAACACACAUAAAGUUUAAAUCUAUCUAUUCGUUUAUGACGAAUAAUGGAUAUAAAACAGCUUUUAACUCAUAAGUAUAUAAAUUAUUACUUAUUUUAUUUAAGUAUAUUAAUAAAUUGAAUGCCAUGGUCGACGCAUGGAUAUUGGUCCCAUAACCACGUUAACGCGUAGUCCAUUCUCAUAUCAAAGCAAUGCUUUCAUUUUUAUGCGUGAUUAUUUAGUGAAACUGCUUCUUUCACAGUAUACUGUGUGUGGUUUUAUCUUUUUUUUAAGUGAAACUAUAAAUUUUUUUCCCAUAGAACGGUUAUCGUCGACAACAAUCCAAACGGAUUCAAAAUAUAUAAAUAAAAAAUAACACUAAACAUAUUUUGAUUAUUAAUUGUCUUCCUCCCCCCCCCCCACCGAUAAAAUGUCUAACUAUAACAUUACUUAUAAUGUUUUGUAAAAAUUUAAACGUUGAACUCUUGUCGCCACGUGUUAAUUUAAAUUGACUGACUUCAAAGUUUGUAGAGUUUAUUUUCAGACAUCGAAGAAUAAAAAUUUAACCAGCUAACGGGAUAAUCAUAAUAUUUUAAAAAUAAGUGGCAAUCCAAAGUAAAUGUCUUAGUUUAUUUUAAAUUUUAGCUGUUCCCGAAAUUUGGUGCGGAAUUCAAGGUAAUUAAAUAAGUAAUUUUGAUUAUUACGUCAAAUUUGAAUCA